Tyto alba (common barn owl) is the source of this 335-nucleotide long non-coding RNA. RefSeq lists it as uncharacterized. The record is from RefSeq and is a predicted model, not a curated record. NCBI's taxonomy places the organism in Eukaryota, Metazoa, Chordata, Aves, Strigiformes, Tytonidae. The transcript is spliced from 3 exons.
UGCUCCUUAAAAACAAACCCUCUGGGGGCCUGUGUUUUUUCUUGGGAAAUCUGCCUGCCCCCAGGAGCUCUGACAGCGUGCUGCCGUGCCACGCAGGGACCCGACCACCUGGUGGAAGACCAGAAGCAGCUAGGGACAGUGCAGCAGCUCGCGCUUGAACAAGAAGGUCUCUAGUUUUACACCUAGCAAGAUCCUGAGUACCCUAGAGCUACAGCUCCCACUUCUUCAGAUGUUCGGGAAAGUGCCCGGGCCCUCCUGUGGUGACCCCCUGCAGACAGCGCAGCCCCCCCAGCUCUCACACCAGGGGGAAGCUGGAGCAUUUGCUGGCAGCCCAG